GAAAUAUAUAAUAAUUAAGCUGCUAACUUAAUUUAUAGUGGUUAAUUACCAUUAAUAUUUCU
RNAcentral lists this transfer RNA (62 nucleotides) under Libythea celtis (nettle-tree butterfly). Its description in RNAcentral is "tRNA-Ser". Lineage: Eukaryota; Metazoa; Arthropoda; Insecta; Lepidoptera; Nymphalidae. The record is from RNAcentral. RNAcentral also lists the same sequence under 2 other names.